RNAcentral lists this ribosomal RNA (527 nucleotides) under uncultured bacterium. Its description in RNAcentral is "bacterial SSU rRNA". It matches the Rfam family "Bacterial small subunit ribosomal RNA", at positions 777 to 1301 of the family's 1533-position model. The record is from RNAcentral.
AAUAGAUACCCGGGUAGUCCACGCCGUAAACGAUGAGUGCUAAGUGUUAGAGGGUUUCCGCCCUUUAGUGCUGCAGCUAAACGCAUUAAGCACUCCGCCUGGGGAGUACGGUCGCAAGACUGAAACUCAAAGGAAUUGACGGGGGCCCGCACAAGCGGUGGAGCAUGUGGUUUAAUUCGAAGCAACGCGAAGAACCUUACCAGGUCUUGACAUCCUCUGACAACUCUAGAGAUAGAGCGUUCCCCUUCGGGGGACAGAGUGACAGGUGGUGCAUGGUUGUCGUCAGCUCGUGUCGUGAGAUGUUGGGUUAAGUCCCGCAACGAGCGCAACCCUUGAUCUUAGUUGCCAGCAUUUAGUUGGGCACUCUAAGGUGACUGCCGGUGACAAACCGGAGGAAGGUGGGGAUGACGUCAAAUCAUCAUGCCCCUUAUGACCUGGGCUACACACGUGCUACAAUGGAUGGUACAAAGGGCUGCAAGACCGCGAGGUCAAGCCAAUCCCAUAAAACCAUUCUCAGUUCGGAUUGU